GACGAACGCUGGCGGCGUGCCUAAUACAUGCAAGUAGAACGCACAGUUUAUACCGUAGCUUGCUACACGAUAGACGGUGAGUUGCGAACGGGUGAGUAACGCGUAGGUAACCUGCCUGGUAGCGGGGGAUAACUAUUGGAAACGAUAGCUAAUACCACAUAAUAUUAAUUAUUGCAUGAUAAUUAAUUGAAAGGUGCAAUUGCACCACUACCAGAUGGACCUGCGUGGUAUUAGCUAGUAGGUGAGGUAACGGACCACCUAGGCGACGAUACAUAGCCGAGCUUAGAGGGUGGACGGCCACACUGGGACCGGGACCCGGCCCAGACUCCCACGGGAGGCAGCAGUAGGGAAUUUUCGGCAAUGGACGAAAGUCUGACCGCGCAACGCCGCGUGAGUGAAGAAGGUUUUCGGAUCGGAAAGCUCUGUUGUAAGAGAAGAACGGGUGUGAGAGUGGAAAGUUCACACUGUGACGGUAUCUUACCAGAAAGGGACGGCUAACUACGUG
RNAcentral lists this ribosomal RNA (505 nucleotides) under uncultured bacterium. RNAcentral's name for it is "partial 16S ribosomal RNA". It matches the Rfam family "Bacterial small subunit ribosomal RNA", at positions 28 to 507 of the family's 1533-position model. The record is from RNAcentral.